CUUGCUAUUUGAUAUUUCUAGCGGCGGACGGGUGAGUAACGCGUGAGCAACCUGCCUUUAUCAGGGGGAUAACGCAUCGAAAGAUGUGCUAAUACCGCGUAAGACCACAGCCUCACAUGGGGCGGGGGUCAAAGGAGCAAUCCGGAUAAAGAUGGGCUCGCGUCCGAUUAGCUAGUUGGUGAGAUAACAGCCCACCAAGGCGACGAUCGGUAGCCGACCUGAGAGGGUGAUCGGCCACAUUGGAACUGAGAGACGGUCCAGACUCC
RNAcentral lists this ribosomal RNA (266 nucleotides) under uncultured Eubacteriales bacterium. RNAcentral describes it as "uncultured Clostridiales bacterium partial 16S ribosomal RNA". It matches the Rfam family "Bacterial small subunit ribosomal RNA", at positions 75 to 339 of the family's 1533-position model. The record is from RNAcentral. Lineage: Bacteria; Bacillati; Bacillota; Clostridia; Eubacteriales.